Molecule: ribosomal RNA, 492 nt
Filed under: uncultured bacterium
Lineage: Bacteria
Description: partial 16S ribosomal RNA
Rfam family: Bacterial small subunit ribosomal RNA
Source: RNAcentral
AGUGAACGCUGGCGGUAGGCCUAACACAUGCAAGUCGAACGGCAGCACAGUAAGAGCUUGCUCUUACGGGUGGCGAGUGGCGGACGGGUGAGGAAUACAUCGGAAUCUACUUUUUCGUGGGGGAUAACGUAGGGAAACUUACGCUAAUACCGCAUACGACCUACGGGUGAAAGCAGGGGAUCUUCGGACCUUGCGCGAUUGAAUGAGCCGAUGUCGGAUUAGCUAGUUGGCGGGGUAAAGGCCCACCAAGGCGACGAUCCGUAGCUGGUCUGAGAGGAUGAGAAGCGACACUGGAACUGAGAGACGGACCAGAAGACGCAGGGAGGCAGCAGGCGGGAAGAUUGGACAAUGGGCGCGAGCAUUAUCCAGCUAUAACGGGGGGGGGAAGAAGGCCUGCGGGUUUGAAAGACCUUUGGGUGGGAAAGAAAAGCAGCCGGUUAAUACCUCGGGGUGCGGACGGUAGGUAAAGAAGAAGAAACGGCUAACUUCGUG